GACGAACGCUGGCGGCGUGCCUAAUACAUGCAAGUAGAACGCUGAAGCGAGGAGCUUGCUCUUCUUGGAUGAGUUGCGAACGGGUGAGUAACGCGUAGGUAACCUGCCUUGUAGCGGGGGAUAACUAUUGGAAACGAUAGCUAAUACCGCAUAACAAUGGAUGACACAUGUCAUUUAUUUGAAAGGGGCAAUUGCUCCACUACAAGAUGGACCUGCGUUGUAUUAGCUAGUAGGUGAGGUAACGGCUCACCUAGGCGACGAUACAUAGCCGACCUGAGAGGGGGAUCGGCCACACUGGGACUGAGACACGGCCCAGACUCCUACGGGAGGCAGCAGUAGGGAAUCUUCGGCAAUGGGGGCAACCCUGACCGAGCAACGCCGCGUGAGUGAAGAAGGUUUUCGGAUCGUAAAGCUCUGUUGUAAGUCAAGAACGAGUGUGAGAGUGGAAAGUUCACACUGUGACGGUAGCUUACCAGAAAGGGACGGCUAACUACGU
This 496-nucleotide ribosomal RNA is filed under the name uncultured bacterium. RNAcentral describes it as "partial 16S ribosomal RNA". It matches the Rfam family "Bacterial small subunit ribosomal RNA", at positions 28 to 506 of the family's 1533-position model. The record is from RNAcentral.